GCUGGGCAUGCUGGCCGCUUGUGUCUUUAGUCCCAGCCACUCAGGAGGCUGAGGCAGGAGGAUCCCUUGAGCCCAGGAAGAGUUCAAGACCAGCCUGGGCCACAUAGUGAGACCCACCUCCC
This 122-nucleotide small RNA is filed under the name Marmota monax (woodchuck). The record is from RNAcentral. Lineage: Eukaryota; Metazoa; Chordata; Mammalia; Rodentia; Sciuridae.